Molecule: ribosomal RNA, 429 nt
Filed under: Fusobacteriota bacterium
Lineage: Bacteria; Fusobacteriati; Fusobacteriota
Description: Fusobacteria bacterium partial 16S ribosomal RNA
Rfam family: Bacterial small subunit ribosomal RNA
Source: RNAcentral
UGGGGAAUAUUGCACAAUGGGCGCAAGCCUGAUGCAGCCAUUCAGCGUGUAUGAAGAAGGCCUUCGGGUUGUAAAGUACUUUCAGCGGGGAGGAAGGGAGUAAAGUUAAUACCUUUGCUCAUUGAUGUUACCCGCAGAAGAAGCACUGGCUAACUCCGUGCCAGCAGCCGCGGUAAUACGGAGGGUGCAAGCGUUAAUUGGAAUUACUGGGCGUAAAGCGCACGCAGGCGGUUUGUUAAGUCAGAUGUGAAAUCCCCGAACUCAACCUGGGAACUGCAUCUGAUACUGGCAAGCUUGAGUCUCGUAGAGGGGGGUAGAAUUCCAGGUGUAGCGGUGAAAUGCGUAGAGAUCUGUAGGAAUACCGGUGGCGAAGGCGGCCCCCUGGACGAAGACUGACGCUCAGGUGCGAAAGCGUGGGGAGCAAACAGG